CGGGGUUUGACUAAGCCAUGCGAGUCGAGAGGUUCAAGACCUCGGCGUACUGCUCAGUAACACGUGGACAAUCUGCCCUGAAGUGGAGGAUAAUCCCGGGAAACUGGGGGUAAUACUCCAUAGUUCGUGACAACUGGAAUGUUUUUGCGAACGAAAGAUCCGUCGCUUCAGGAUGAGUCUGCGGCCGAUUAGGUAGUUGUUGGGGUUAACGGUCCCUAACUAAGCCUGUCAUCGGUACGGGUUGUGGGAGCAAGAGCCCGGAGAUGGAUUCUGAGACACGAAUCCAGGCCCUACGGGGCGCAGCAGGCGCGAAAACUUUACCAAUGCGGGCAACCGUGAUAAGGAAACCCCGAGUGCCAGCACAGGCUGGCUGUCCGCCAGUGUAAAUAACUGGUGAAGAAAGGGCCGGGCAAGACCGGUGCCAGCCGCCGCGGUAAUACCGGCGGCUCGAGUGGUGGCCACUAUUACUGGGCUUAAAGGGUCCGUAGCUGGAUAUACAAGUCUCUUGAGAAAUCCGCCGGCUUAACCGGUGGGCGUU
This 538-nucleotide ribosomal RNA is filed under the name uncultured archaeon. RNAcentral describes it as "bacterial SSU rRNA". It matches the Rfam family "Archaeal small subunit ribosomal RNA", at positions 34 to 574 of the family's 1478-position model. The record is from RNAcentral.